This is a long non-coding RNA of Oncorhynchus tshawytscha (Chinook salmon), 252 nucleotides long. RefSeq lists it as uncharacterized. The record is from RefSeq and is a predicted model, not a curated record. Lineage: Eukaryota; Metazoa; Chordata; Actinopteri; Salmoniformes; Salmonidae. The transcript is spliced from 3 exons.
ACACAGAUUUUCAUGAUGGAGCAGCCUAUUUUCAUCUGUUUCACUCCUGUAGGGAGGUUGGUGUGGGAGGAACUGUCUUCUCAAACUGAACAGUAUGUGGAUGAGGAGGUUCAGCAGCAGCCCGGUCUGACUUUAAUCUCUUGGUCUGGACCUCAGUGGGUUUCAAGCGCCCCUGUCAAACUGCAGCCAACAUAUUACUUUACCCAUGCUGGGAACACGCUGGUGAGAGAGCUGUCAGUAUUAAAUACACAG